GACGAACGCUGGCGGCGUGCUUAACACAUGCAAGUCGAACGGAAAGGCCCUGCCUUUGUGGGGUGCUCGCGUGGCGAACGGGUGAGUAACACGUGCGUAACCUGCCCUUCACUUUGGGAUAACUUUAGGAAACUUGGGCUAAUACCGGAUAGGAGCUCCUGCUGCAUGUUGGGGUUUGGUAACUUUCGGCGGUUGGGGAUGGACUCGCGUCUUAUCAGCUCGUUGGUUGGGUAGUGGCUUACCAAGGCUUUGACGGGUAGCCGACCUGAGAGGGUGACCGGCAACAUUGGGACUGAGAUACUGCCCGGACUCCUACGGGAGGCAGCAGUGGGGAAUAUUGCACAAUGGGCGGAAGCCUGAUGCAGCAACGCAGCGUGCGGGAUGACGGCCUUCGGGUUGUAAACCGCUUUCGCCUGUGACGAAGCGUGAGUGACGGUAAUGGGUAAAGAAGCACCGGCUAACUACGUG
This 468-nucleotide ribosomal RNA is filed under the name uncultured bacterium. RNAcentral's name for it is "partial 16S ribosomal RNA". It matches the Rfam family "Bacterial small subunit ribosomal RNA", at positions 28 to 507 of the family's 1533-position model. The record is from RNAcentral.